Long non-coding RNA from Clupea harengus (Atlantic herring), 494 nucleotides. RefSeq lists it as uncharacterized. The record is from RefSeq and is a predicted model, not a curated record. Lineage: Eukaryota; Metazoa; Chordata; Actinopteri; Clupeiformes; Clupeidae. The transcript has 4 exons.
CGACGACGACAACACCCCACACCCGGAGGAGAACCCUCCACCUCAGUCACCCUCUCCACCUCCUCCCCCUUCCCCUUCUCCUCCUCCUCCUCCUUCUCCGUCUCAAUUCCGAACUCCCCGGCCUCUCCCCGGCAGACAGCCCGUCUCCUUCCCCGUUCCCCGCGUUCAGCCACGGUCACCAGCGGUGGUGUGGUUCCGCGGCCGAGGCCAGAGGGGGCGGGGGGGGCGCGGGCAGAUCUUUGAGGACCCGGCGGUGGUUAAGAGCGUCAGGGUGCGACCCAGUCUGAAGAGCCUUGACAGUGCCAUAGUGGACUGCUGCCACACCUCGUAUUGGGAACAUGUGAACUCCAAUUCAUGGGUGGCACCAUCCGAAGGGUUAAGAGGACCAACCAAGCCCAUUCUGCAGGAUGAGGCCAUCCUCCGAGUGAUUGACAGGCCUGUAUGUGCCCCCCGCCUGCCCACCUACACUCACUUCCUGUCUAAAUCCGCCCCUA